ACGCUGGCGGGAUGCUUUACACAUGCAAGUCGGACGGCAGCACGGACUUCGGUCUGGUGGCGAGUGGCGAACGGGUGAGUAAUGUAUCGGAACGUGCCCAGUAGCGGGGGAUAACUACGCGAAAGCGUGGCUAAUACCGCAUACGCCCUACGGGGGAAAGCGGGGGACCUUCGGGCCUCGCACUAUUGGAGCGGCCGAUAUCGGAUUAGCUUGUUGGUGAGGUAAUGGCUCACCAAGGCGACGAUCCGUAGCUGGUUUGAGAGGACGACCAGCCACACUGGGACUGAGACACGGCCCAGACUCCUACGGGAGGCAGCAGUGGGGAAUUUUGGACAAUGGGGGCAACCCUGAUCCAGCCAUCCCGCGUGUGCGAUGAAGGCCUUCGGGUUGUAAAGCACUUUUGGCAGGGAAGAAAAGGUUCUGGCGAAUAACCGGAACUGCUGACGUUACCGACAGAAUAAGCACCGGCUAACUUCGUGCCAGCAGCCGCGGUAAUACGAAGGGUGCAAGCGUUAAUCGGAAUUACUGGGCCG
RNAcentral lists this ribosomal RNA (533 nucleotides) under uncultured bacterium. Its description in RNAcentral is "bacterial SSU rRNA". It matches the Rfam family "Bacterial small subunit ribosomal RNA", at positions 33 to 561 of the family's 1533-position model. The record is from RNAcentral.